RNAcentral lists this ribosomal RNA (492 nucleotides) under uncultured bacterium. Its description in RNAcentral is "partial 16S ribosomal RNA". It matches the Rfam family "Bacterial small subunit ribosomal RNA", at positions 30 to 507 of the family's 1533-position model. The record is from RNAcentral.
AUUGAACGCUGGCGGCAUGCUUUACACAUGCAAGUCGAACGAUAACAGGCCUUCGGUUGCUCUCGAUUAGCUUACGGGCGAGUAAUUCAUCGGAACGUGCCCAACGUACGUGUAUAACUCAGCUAAAUUUGUGCUAAUACCGCUUGUACUCUGAGAUUUUUAGCUUGGGAUCGAGCAGCAAUGUUUGGCCUCGCUCCUUUGGAUCGUCCGUUGUCGGAUUAGCUAGUUGGUGGGGUAAAGGCUUACCAAGGAGACGAUCCGUAGCUGGUCUGAGAGGACGAACAGACAAACUGGGACUGAGAAAAGGCCAAGACUCAUAAGGGAGGCAGCAGUGGGGAAUUUUGGACAAUGGGCGCAAGCCUGAUCCAGAAAUGCCGCGUGCGGGAAGAAGGCCUUCGGGUUGUAAACCGAUUUUGGCAGGAACGAAAAGGUGUCAGCUAAUACCGGGCGCUAAUGACGGUACCUGCAGAAUAAGCACCGGCUAACUAAGUG